CCAGUCCUGUAAGCUCCACUUAUGAUACAAAGACUCCUGAAGGCUUGGGAGGGAGCGAGGACAUGGCUGAGCAAGGAAGAAAGGGAAGGGGACAACAGGAUUUUUAUGAAGGAGUGAAAAGGAAGGACAAUUUGAGAACAUGACCUGUCUUCCUUCUCUGACAUGGAGGCUGGUGAAAGUGAAUCAUCACUGAACAAAUUCUUGCUAAGUUAAAAACAAAUUAAAAUCGCCAUCUAAUGUGGGUAAAGAGAUGCAACUAGCUAACUGCGUGGGUGUGGAUUUCCCACAUGGCCCCUGAAAGCACUGCUUUGGACAGGGCUCCUACCCCAUAAAGCUUAUUUUUCAGUCAUUUUUAGAACUUGCAUCAGUUCAACUGUUUUUAGAUAGGUUUGUGGGUUGUUUUUUCUUUAAAAGUCUACACAAAGCAGCCUGUGGAAAUGUCAGAGGCAUGUGAACCAGAACAACUCCAUCUUUAAUAGGAGCUGGGUAAAGUGAGGCUGACACCUACUGGGCUGCAUUCCCAGGUGGUUAAGGCAUUCUAAGUCACAGGAUGAGAUAGGAGGUCAGCACAAAGUACAGGUCAUGAAGACCUUGCUGAUAAAACAGGUUGCAGUUAAGGAGCUGGCCAAAACCCACCAAAACCAAAAUAGUGACGAGAGUGACCUCUGGGCAGCCUCACUGUUACACUCCCACCAGCGCCAUGACAGUUUAAAAAAUGCCAUAGCAACGUCAGGAGCCCUAUGUGGUCUAAAUAGGGGAGGCAUGAAUAAUCCAUCCCUUGUGUAGCAUAUCAUCA
Molecule: long non-coding RNA, 796 nt
Filed under: Homo sapiens (human)
Lineage: Eukaryota; Metazoa; Chordata; Mammalia; Primates; Hominidae
Description: HSALNT0043115
Source: RNAcentral